RNAcentral lists this ribosomal RNA (341 nucleotides) under Theileria cf. equi. RNAcentral's name for it is "SSU rRNA". It matches the Rfam family "Eukaryotic small subunit ribosomal RNA", at positions 546 to 924 of the family's 1831-position model. Lineage: Eukaryota; Apicomplexa; Aconoidasida; Piroplasmida; Theileriidae. The record is from RNAcentral.
AAUUGGAGGGCAAGUCUGGUGCCAGCAGCCGCGGUAAUUCCAGCUCCAAUAGCGUAUAUUAAACUUGUUGCAGUUAAAAAGCUCGUAGUUGAAUUUCUGCUGUAUCGUUAUCUUCUGCUUGACAGUUUGAUUUCGUUAUGGCUUAGUUGGGUCACUUUGUGUCCCGGCGUUUACUUUGAGAAAAUUAGAGUGCUUCAAGCAGGCUUUUGCCUUGAAUACUUUAGCAUGGAAUAAUGGAGUAGGACUUUGGUUCUAUUUUGUUGGUUUUAGGAGCCAGAGUAAUGGUUAAUAGGAACAGUUGGGGGCAUUCGUAUUUGACUGUCAGAGGUGAAAUUCUUAGA